RNAcentral lists this ribosomal RNA (1324 nucleotides) under metagenome. RNAcentral's name for it is "bacterial LSU rRNA". It matches the Rfam family "Bacterial large subunit ribosomal RNA", at positions 1587 to 2925 of the family's 2925-position model. The record is from RNAcentral.
UAAGUACAUGAUUCCAUGCUUCCAAGAAAAGCAUCUAGAGAGAGAAGUAGUGCCCGUACCGCAAACCGACACAGGUAGAUGAGGAGAGAAUCCUAAGGCCGGCGGAAGAAUUGCAGUUAAGGAACUAGGCAAAUUGACCCCGUAAGUUAGCGAGAAGGGGUGCCUGCGAGAGCAGGCCGCAGAGAAUAGGCCCAAGCAACUGUUUAGCAAAAACACAGGUCUCUGCUAAAGCGCAAGCUGAUGUAUAGGGGCUGACGCCUGCCCGGUGCUGGAAGGUUAAGGGGAACACUUAGCGCAAGCGAAGGUGUGAACUUAAGCCCCAGUAAACGGCGGCCGUAACAAUAACGGUCCUAAGGUAGCGAAAUUCCUUGUCAGGUAAGUUCUGACCCGCACGAAUGGCGUAAUGACUUGGGCACUGUCUCAACUGCAAAUCCGGCGAAGUUGUAGUGCGAGUGAAGAUGCUCGCUACCCGCGAUUGGACGGAAAGACCCCGUAGAGCUUUACUGUAGCUUAGCAUUGAAUUCCGGUAUUGUCUGUACAGGAUAGGUGGGAGACUGGGAAACUAGGGCGUCAGCCUUGGUGGAGUCGUCCUUGGGAUACCACCCUGACAGUACUGGGGUUCUAACAGGACACCAUGAAUCUGGUGACUGGACAUUGUUAGGUGGGCAGUUUGACUGGGGCGGUCGCCUCCUAAAAAGUAACGGAGGCGCCCAAAGGUUCCCUCAGAACGGUCGGAAAUCGUUCGUAGAGUGCAAAGGCAGAAGGGAGCCUGACUGCGAGACCUACAAGUCGAGCAGGGACGAAAGUCGGGCUUAGUGAUCCGGUGGUACCUCGUGGGAGGGCCAUCGCUCAACGGAUAAAAGCUACCUCGGGGAUAACAGGCUGAUCUCCCCCAAGAGUCCACAUCGACGGGGAGGUUUGGCACCUCGAUGUCGGCUCGUCGCAUCCUGGGGCUGUAGUAGGUCCCAAGGGUUGGGCUGUUCGCCCAUUAAAGCGGCACGCGAGCUGGGUUCAGAACGUCGUGAGACAGUUCGGUCCCUAUCCGUCGCGGGCGUAGGAAAUUUGAGAGGAGCUGUCCUUAGUACGAGAGGACCGGGAUGGACUGACCUCUGGUGCACCAGUUGUUCUGCCAAGAGCAUGGCUGGGUAGCUAAGUCGGGAAGGGAUAAACGCUGAAAGCAUCUAAGCGUGAAGCCUCCCUCAAGAUGAGAUUUCCCAUAGCAUAAGCUAGUAAGACCCCUUGAAGAACACGAGGUUGAUAGGUCAGAGGUGUAAGUGUGGUAACAUAUUUAGCUGACUGAUACUAAUAGGUCGAGGGCUUGACC